Molecule: ribosomal RNA, 404 nt
Filed under: uncultured bacterium
Lineage: Bacteria
Description: bacterial SSU rRNA
Rfam family: Bacterial small subunit ribosomal RNA
Source: RNAcentral
UAGGGAAUAUUGGACAAUGGGCGAAAGCCUAAUCCAGCAAUACCGCGUGAAUGAUGAAGGUCUUAGGAUUGCAAAGUUCUUUCGGUGGGGAAGAUAAUGACGGUACCCACAGAAGAAGCACCGGCUAACUUCGUGCCAGCAGCCGCGGUAAUACGAAGGGUGCUAGCGUUAUUCGGAAUCACUGGGCGUAAAGAGUGUAAAGGCUGUUAGAUAAGUUAGUUAUGAAAUCCCUGAGCUCAACUCAGGAACUAUGAUUAAAACUAUCUGGCUAGAGUAUAGUAGGCGAUGGCGGAAUUCUUAGUGUAGGGGUGAAAUCCGUAGAUAUUAAGAGGAACACCGGUGGUGAAGACGGCUAUCUUGACUAUAACUGACGCUACAACACGAAGGCAUGGGUAGCAAACAGG